GGUUGUAUAGUCUAAUGGUCAGGACGUGGGAUUCUGAUGUCUGCCAGCCUUCGCUGGCAGCAAGAUUAGAAUCUUCCCGAAGUCCCGGUUCGAUCCCGGGUACGACCU
This 108-nucleotide transfer RNA is filed under the name Eutypa lata UCREL1. It matches the Rfam family "tRNA". Rfam says of the family: Transfer RNA (tRNA) molecules are approximately 80 nucleotides in length. Their secondary structure includes four short double-helical elements and three loops (D, anti-codon, and T loops). Lineage: Eukaryota; Fungi; Ascomycota; Sordariomycetes; Xylariales; Diatrypaceae. The record is from Rfam by way of RNAcentral.